AAAGUCUGUAUGAACGCACUCAGCUCUUUUUGCACCUCUCUCCCUUCUGUCCAGUCAGUCAGAGAAUCUUCACUCUGUGGCACUGUUUACCGCUCCAUCUGCCUCCAAGGUCAUAUGGCUUUCCUGAAAGGAAUUAUUCACCCAUGGACACACCCAGGCUAGGAGAAAAAGCAGAUCCAAGGGGGAAGCCGUGACUCUAAAGUUUACCAGGAGCAAGACCCAGAGUUCUUUGGUUUCUUGGACUUGCUUGUGAAGUCAACAUGGCUUUAUCUCCUCAAAGCUGAAAGGCAUGCUGCAAAAUUAACACAGAGAAGAGAAAACAAGCCCAGGAUGGACGGACGUGCCGGCUGACUCUACAGUGACCGUCAUGCUUAUGAAGAUAAGAUGGUAGCUGUGUGCAGUCUCUCAUCAUGGCCAAGUCACCUUCUUCCUGAUUCGCAGAGCUGGAAAUAAAAACAAGGAGAGGCCAUUGGUUAAAGAAGUCAUUGGCAGAGCAAGCUGAAUGCUCUGCUUCCUUCAGUGUUGGCCCGUGACCAAGCAACAGGUUCAGGUCAUGAGCCUGGGCUUCAGGCUGUAGACAGGCAAACUGUGAUGGGCACAGAGAACCAGGCUGAAAACAGAGGAAUAUUAAUCCCCCAAAGUAGAUGUCAAUUCACAAUGAUGAAAAGACUUGAAUCCUCAACUUGUGGCCCUGGUCUUCAGUUUUGCCAAAUCCGCUACUCCAUCAGGACUGGAAGAAGAUCCAUCUGGGACAAUGUUAUGGAGAACAUUGUAGAUUGUGAGAAACAUUUCUUUUGGAGGAAGCUCAAAACCUGAGUGCUUAAAUCGGUUCUCUAAGAUUAAACGUUAUUAUGUGAUGAAAUCAGUGCCAUCUGGCCGGCUGAUGAAUGGGAAACCGUAUUUAGACAAGAUGUCAGCUAUGCUAUUGUGUGUAUAGAUGUGCUGUGUACAAGGAGUUUCACCAACAUAUUGUUUAUGGUGUCCACCACCCACUGAGAGGGAAUUGGUUGGUUUUGUUUUGAGGCGGGAAGAUGACCUUGAAGUGGCAGUCAGCCUAUCUUUACUUGGCAAUCGCUGAGAAUCAGCAUGUAUUGCAAUUUUUAUGCGGUACUAGGGAUCAAACCAGGGCCCUGUUCAUCCUGGGCCAACACUCUACCAAUUAGGCUGUGUCCCCAGCUUUAUUCAUGGGGGAUUAUCUAAACACUUUAUUUUGCAGAAUUCAAUGUAGCUGUUACAAAUAAUGACUCAUUGGAAUGCUAAGGGGUUUUGUUAGAGGAGACCUUUUGUGGUAUGAAAGAGUUGGUGUCCGUGAAUGUGUAGACCAUCUUGAGUAAGCCAUAUGUAUACAAGCAUAUAUAUGAAAAGAUGUUUGAAUAAUUACCUAAAAAUUAGGCAAAUGGGUUAUGUUAAUGUGUGUGUGUGUGUGUGUGUGUGUGUGUGUGUGUGGUGUUGGAGAUGGAAUCUGGGACUUUUUUAUGCUAGGAAAGUGCUCUGACACUGACCCCUAUACCUUCACCCCCCCCCAAACACACACACACACACCACAUCUAAAGUUUGUUCAGUAAUUCUUAUCUUAAAAGCAUGCAUGUUUUGCCUACAUACAUGUAGUAUGUGUACUGUGUGCAUUCAGUGCCUGUAAAGGUCAACUUAGCAUGUUGAAUCCCCUGGAACUGAAGUUACAGAUGGCUGUGAGCUGCCAUGUAGGUCCUAGGUACCAACCCUGGAGCUUCUGCAAGAGCAGCACAUGCUCUCAACUGCUGAGCCACUUCUCAGGCCCCUAUUUUAACUCAUUUACAUAUAAUUGUAUCUGUAAAUUUUGUUUAAAGAUUGCAUGUCAUUUUACUUGCUUUUAUGAAGAUAAUAAAAAAAUGUUGUUUUGAAUAGAA
Molecule: long non-coding RNA, 1886 nt
Filed under: Mus musculus (house mouse)
Lineage: Eukaryota; Metazoa; Chordata; Mammalia; Rodentia; Muridae
Description: predicted gene, 36640
Source: RNAcentral